RNAcentral lists this ribosomal RNA (404 nucleotides) under Bacillota bacterium. Its description in RNAcentral is "Firmicutes bacterium partial 16S ribosomal RNA". It matches the Rfam family "Bacterial small subunit ribosomal RNA", at positions 355 to 776 of the family's 1533-position model. Lineage: Bacteria; Bacillati; Bacillota. The record is from RNAcentral.
UGGGGAAUCUUGCGCAAUGGGCGAAAGCCUGACGCAGCCAUGCCGCGUGAAUGAUGAAGGUCUUAGGAUUGUAAAAUUCUUUCACCGGGGACGAUAAUGACGGUACCCGGAGAAGAAGCCCCGGCUAACUUCGUGCCAGCAGCCGCGGUAAUACGAAGGGGGCUAGCGUUGCUCGGAAUUACUGGGCGUAAAGGGCGCGUAGGCGGAUCGUUAAGUCAGAGGUGAAAUCCCAGGGCUCAACCCUGGAACUGCCUUUGAUACUGGCGAUCUUGAGUAUGAGAGAGGUAUGUGGAACUCCGAGUGUAGAGGUGAAAUUCGUAGAUAUUCGGGAGAACACCAGUGGCGAAGGCGACAUACUGGCUCAUUACUGACGCUGAGGCGCGAAAGCGUGGGGAGCAAACAGG